Molecule: non-coding RNA, 72 nt
Organism: Nerophis lumbriciformis (worm pipefish)
Lineage: Eukaryota; Metazoa; Chordata; Actinopteri; Syngnathiformes; Syngnathidae
Source: the annotation of a RefSeq genome assembly
GGCGCGGUGGCCAAGUGGUAAGGCGUUGGUCUUGUAAACCAAAAAUCAUGGGUUCGACUCCCAUCUGCGCCU